Molecule: ribosomal RNA, 905 nt
Filed under: Psathyrella brooksii
Lineage: Eukaryota; Fungi; Basidiomycota; Agaricomycetes; Agaricales; Psathyrellaceae
Description: eukaryotic LSU rRNA
Rfam family: Eukaryotic large subunit ribosomal RNA
Source: RNAcentral
GGAGGAAAAGAAACUAACAAGGAUUCCCCUAGUAACUGCGAGUGAAGCGGGAAAAGCUCAAAUUUAAAAUCUGGUGGUCUUUGGCCAUCCGAGUUGUAAUCUAGAGAAGUGUUACCCGCGUCGGACCGUGUACAAGUCUCCUGGAAUGGAGCGUCAUAGAGGGUGAGAAUCCCGUCUUUGACACGGACUACCGAGGCUUUGUGGUGCGCUCUCAACGAGUCGAGUUGUUUGGGAAUGCAGCUCAAAAUGGGUGGUAAAUUCCAUCUAAAGCUAAAUAUUGGCGAGAGACCGAUAGCGAACAAGUACCGUGAGGGAAAGAUGAAAAGAACUUUGGAAAGAGAGUUAAACAGUACGUGAAAUUGCUAAAAGGGAAACGCUUGAAGUCAGUCGCGUUGGCCGGAAAUCAGCCUUGCUUUUGCUGGGUGUACUUUCUGGUUGACGGGCCAGCAUCAGUUUUGACCGGUGGAAAAAGGUCAAGGGAAUGUGGCAUCUUCGGAUGUGUUAUAGCCCUUGGUUGUAUGCAUCGGUUGGGACUGAGGAACUCAGCACGCCGCAAGGCCGGGUCUUUGACCACGUUCGUGCUUAGGAUGCUGGCAUAAUGGCUUUAAUCGACCCGUCUUGAAACACGGACCAAGGAGUCUAACAUGCCUGCGAGUGUUUGGGUGGAAAACCCGGACGCGUAAUGAAAGUGAAAGUCGAGAUCCCUGUCAUGGGGAGCAUCGACGCCCGGACCAGAAGUUCUCUGACGGCCCUGCGGUAGAGCAUGUAUGUUGGGACCCGAAAGAUGGUGAACUAUGCCUGAAUAGGGUGAAGCCAGAGGAAACUCUGGUGGAGGCUCGUAGCGAUUCUGACGUGCAAAUCGAUCGUCAAAUUUGGGUAUAGGGGCGAAAGACUAAUCGAACCAU